This 441-nucleotide unclassified non-coding RNA is filed under the name Hevea brasiliensis (rubber tree). Lineage: Eukaryota; Viridiplantae; Streptophyta; Magnoliopsida; Malpighiales; Euphorbiaceae. The record is from RNAcentral.
CCCAAAGAUAAAAUGAGAAGAUUGAACGGUUACAAGUUUGUCUCUGAACAGGGCAACAUAUACAACCCAGACAAGUUACAAAUCAGAGAGUACCCAUAAAUUAAGUUGGAAGUCGUGAAAAAAUAAAAAGAGAAAGGCAACCAAAUAUUGAAUUUCAAUGAAGUACAGUUACGCCCCUUGUUCCAGUUAAUAUAUCUACCGUCCACUUAGAAAAAUUGCCCCCAAUUACCCCCACCUUAUAUAUGGAGGUGCUCUACCAAGGGAAAAAUGGACCAAUGAUACAAUGUAGGUUCCUAAACUCAACCGAAAGAGGUCGAACCAAGGGCACUGGCAACAACAAAUUUUUCUGCUCAAGCUCCUGUACCAGCAAAUUAACGUGUACGCUACAAGGCCUCGGUUCCUUUUUCUCUGUCCUCUAGCCUGCAAUGCUGAGAUCAAGCA